Molecule: ribosomal RNA, 490 nt
Filed under: uncultured bacterium
Lineage: Bacteria
Description: partial 16S ribosomal RNA
Rfam family: Bacterial small subunit ribosomal RNA
Source: RNAcentral
AUUGAACGCUGGCGGCAGGCCUAACACAUGCAAGUCGAACGGUAACAGGAAGCAGCUUGCUGCUUCGCUGACGAGUGGCGGACGGGUGAGUAAUGUCUGGGAAACUGCCUGAUGGAGGGGGAUAACUACUGGAAACGGUAGCGAAUACCGCAUAACGUCGCAAGACCAAAGAGGGGGACCUUAGGGCCUCUUGCCAUCGGAUGUGCCCAGAUGGGAUUAGCUAGUAGGCGGGGUAACGGCUCACCUAGGCGACGAUCCCUAGCUGGUCUGAGAGGAUGACCAGCCACACUGGAACUGAGACACGGUCCAGACUCCUACGGGAGGCAGCAGUGGGGAAUAUUGCACAAUGGGCGCAAGCCUGAUGCAGCCAUGCCGCGUGUAUGAAGAAGGCCUUCGGGUUGUAAAGUACUUUCGGCGGGGAGGAAGGGAGUAAAGUUAAUACCUUGGCUCAUUGACGUUACCCGCAGAAGAAGCACCGGCUAACUCCGUG